This 429-nucleotide ribosomal RNA is filed under the name Bacillota bacterium. Its description in RNAcentral is "Firmicutes bacterium partial 16S ribosomal RNA". It matches the Rfam family "Bacterial small subunit ribosomal RNA", at positions 355 to 776 of the family's 1533-position model. The record is from RNAcentral. Lineage: Bacteria; Bacillati; Bacillota.
UAGGGAAUCUUCGGCAAUGGACGGAAGUCUGACCGAGCAACGCCGCGUGAGUGAAGAAGGUUUUCGGAUCGUAAAGCUCUGUUGUUAGAGAAGAACGUUGGUAGGAGUGGAAAAUCUACCAAGUGACGGUAACUAACCAGAAAGGGACGGCUAACUACGUGCCAGCAGCCGCGGUAAUACGUAGGUCCCGAGCGUUGUCCGGAUUUAUUGGGCGUAAAGCGAGCGCAGGCGGUUCUUUAAGUCUGAAGUUAAAGGCAGUGGCUUAACCAUUGUACGCUUUGGAUACUGGAGGACUUGAGUGCAGAAGGGGAGGGUGGAAUUCCAUGUGUAGCGGUGAAAUGCGUAGAUAUAUGGAGGAACACCGGUGGCGAAAGCGGCUCUCUGGUCUGUAACUGACGCUGAGGGUCGAAAGCGUGGGGAGCAAACAGG